GUGAGUUAUGAGCCUGACCUUGAAUGCCCUUGCUCAUAAGGAGUGUAGAUUUUAGUUUCAUUUUCAUUGGUCAAUACAGGCAAGCCUUUGAAGGGUUUCUGCAAGAGAAUGUAGAUAUUGGAGUUGGGCUGCACCAGUGCAAACUGGACUGGGAACUGGGAAGGGAACAAGUGGGAGGUACAGUCAGGACAUUAUUGUCAUAACUUGGGCAGCAGUUACAGAGGCAAGCAAGGUGGAGAGGGGGUGGAAAUGAAGGGAGCAAAACCAUGUGAAAGGUCACUGAGGAAGUUCCAGUGUGGAUGCCUGGAAGAUACAAGAGAACAACUCCCAGAGAUUUGGAAAUACGGAGGAGGAGAGGUUUAAAAGUGUGAGUUCAGAUUGGGACAUUUAGAGUUUGGGUGACUUGAGGAAUGUCCUACGAUGAGUCCAUUAGGCUUUUGGAGACGAGGGCCCUGAGAGAAGCUGGGGCUAGAGAUACACUUGGGAAUUGUCCACAUGGAGGUACUAACUUAAGCCAUGAGAGGAAGAGGAGGAGGAAAAGGAGAAAGAGACACAGAGAGAGAGAGAGAGAGAGAGCUCACCAAGAACAAAUUAUUGGGGAACACCUACCUUUAGGAGAGGAGAAAAAAUAGUAGGAGUAUUUGAAGAGUGAGAGAGUAACCAGAAGAUUGAAAUGUCAUGGAAACCAAAGACACAGUAUCAAGACAGAAGAAAUCAUCGAUAACACUGAAGGCAGCACACUACGGGGGAGAAAGAAGACUGGGAAUUGGUGGUUAGAUGUGACCACCUGGAGAUCUGCCAUCCCCCUGCCCACGUCCCAAAGAGCAGGUAGAUGCCCUUGCGCACCAGUCAGGAAUGCAAUGGGGAGUCAUGGAAAAUUUUCCAGCAGAAGAUUGACAAGAUCAGAGUUUGCUGGAAGCAGGCUCACAUGAGUGUAAGAUGGCUGGGAAGGGGAAAAAUCAGGUGGACACCAUUUAGUGGGAUAUUGCAGAAGUCCAGACUGAGGGAGGUCUAGAAGCUAAUUAAGGGCUGGUGGCUUCAAUGUUACAACAUGUAGAGCAGGACAAUGACAGGCCGAAGGUCAUGGGGCUCCCAGGGCUUCCUGGACCUCAGGUGGGUAUGGCCAUUGCUCUUUGCAUGUCACCAGCAACAAGUGUUUCCCAACUCGGUCUCUCUCAGCCUCCGUAGCUAAUAUUUGCCUCCUAUUGAUUCAGUAUCUAGCCUGUUACUUUUUAACUGGAGCCUGGGGUUCAAAGGCCUGACUGUUGUUUAAACACUCAUUACAUUGCGGAGGGCAUGUCCCCCUGACAAUCUCAACUCAUGAACAAGCAAGGAUCUUCUAAGUAAAUAUAGAAUGCAGAGAAGGCAAG
This 1370-nucleotide long non-coding RNA is filed under the name Homo sapiens (human). RNAcentral describes it as "HSALNT0251853". Lineage: Eukaryota; Metazoa; Chordata; Mammalia; Primates; Hominidae. The record is from RNAcentral.